Molecule: long non-coding RNA, 787 nt
Organism: Thunnus maccoyii (southern bluefin tuna)
Lineage: Eukaryota; Metazoa; Chordata; Actinopteri; Scombriformes; Scombridae
Exons: 2
Source: RefSeq, a predicted model, not a curated record
AGCAGUUGGAAGUUUGAAUUACUAGUAUUUAAACAGUCUGAAUUACUAGUAUUUAAACAUUAUUUGCACUGCUGCUUGCAAGUGUAAUUUAAAAAAUAUUUUUGGAUUACUGUUUUCUCUUGAACUGUAUAUCAGUGAAUGCUAACGUUAAUCUGACCUGGUCUAUACCUACACCUUGUUUAUCCCACUUGCAUUUCAUAAUUAAUAGCCUACUAUCUAGGUUAACUAUUGAAGUUUAUUCAGAUAGGAAGCCAAGUUGAUUAAGAUAUGUUUGCUGCUGAGCCCCAAAAAACAGAGUGGUUAUAUUGGUUAUCUUAGGUCAACCAAAGUGUGUUUCUAAGCUGUAGCUAGGUUGCUGCAAAUAUACUUUAGUUUGUUGCCAAUCUGUACUAAAACCAGGGACAUAAUAGGUGAUUUAUUACAUGAUGUUUUCAGGUACUUCAUUGGGAUUAACCCUGAGAGAGGAACACAGCCCAGCUGGGUUAGCUGUGACCUUGUGGCCUGGAUGCCGACCUUCUGCCAAUUUAAACAGAGGACAUUUGAAGGUAUUAUAAUUGUGUAUCCUGCAAUCUGUUUAUUUGUACUUUAUUUGUACUAACAGUUGCUGUUUAGACUCAAGCCUAAGUUUUGCUGACAGCUCAGGAUAUAAUAAUUAACAGAUUCUGCAGAUUAUAAUUAACAAGUUCCAUGCCCUUUGAAAGGGUUGUUUUUUUCAAACACACAUACUUGAAUAUACUUCACACAUUUGAAAGCCUUUGAAUAAAUGUUCAGUUCCAUAAAGCUGUCA